CCUCCUCCGCCGCCGCCGAGGUCUCCUCAGAGCCGCCCUCCCGCCAUCUUCCUCCUCCUCUCCAUAGCCCCGCCCCGCUCCGCCCACUCUACGUCAUCGCCAUGUCCCAGGUCUACCAGAAAGGCCAGUAACAACACCUGGACUCCAACCAGGACUGGUGCAGUACCAACUGGACUUGACAAGUGUGACUCCAAAGGCUCACAGAAGACGCAUGAAGGUUUGAAGAAACUUCACUGUGAAACUAACAGAUCAAAUUGUACCAUUUCAAUUUUCAAGGGUUACAGAAUGUUCCCACUCAGUUUUAAUUUUGGAGUGAAACAAGAAACUAAAGAAAAAUGAGCUAAUAUAAAAAUCUAGAGUUGGAACUAUCUUUCAUAGAUAAACAUGCUCUAAUUUUCAUUUCUCCCUCCUCACUUGCACCUCCCCACCUACUUGGUUAACAGUCAUCCUGGGAGUGAAGGUUUCCCUCCAGGGUCACCUGCUCUUCCCUGCCUCCCAGCUCCCCUCCCACCCACUA
Molecule: long non-coding RNA, 517 nt
Organism: Myotis myotis
Lineage: Eukaryota; Metazoa; Chordata; Mammalia; Chiroptera; Vespertilionidae
Exons: 3
Source: RefSeq, a predicted model, not a curated record